CCUACGGGAGGCAGCAGGAGGGAAUAGUGCUCAAUAGGGGAAACCCGGAAGCAGCAACGCCGAGGGGAGGAUGAAGGUGUUCGGAGUGGAAACUCCUUGUGGUAGAGAAGAGAAUGACGGUACCUAACGAAUAAGCACCGGCGAACGCCGUGCCAGCAGCCGCGGUAAUACGGAGGGUGCAAGCGUGACUCGGAACCACUGGGCGUAAAGAGCGCGUAGGCGGGAUAGCAAGUCAGAUGUGAAAUCCUCUGGCUUAACCAUAGAACUGCAUUUGUAACUGUUAUUCUAGAGUAUGGGAGAGGUAGGUGGAAUUCUUGGUGUAGGGGUCACAUCCGUAGAGAUCACGAGGAAUACUCAUUGUGACGGCGCCCUGCUAGAACAUAACUGACGCUGAUGCGCGACAGCGUGGGGAGCAAACAGGAUUAGCUACCCUAGUAGUC
Molecule: ribosomal RNA, 440 nt
Filed under: uncultured bacterium
Lineage: Bacteria
Description: partial 16S ribosomal RNA
Rfam family: Bacterial small subunit ribosomal RNA
Source: RNAcentral